Molecule: RNA transcript, 4634 nt
Organism: Acinonyx jubatus (cheetah)
Lineage: Eukaryota; Metazoa; Chordata; Mammalia; Carnivora; Felidae
Gene name: pyruvate dehydrogenase phosphatase regulatory subunit, mitochondrial-like
Exons: 6
Source: RefSeq, a predicted model, not a curated record
GUGCCGGUGCCGGGCCACGGGGCACACUUUUCCAGUGCUAGGGAUAUGUAUUAAUUUCUUAAACUUGCCUGAUCACCUGGUGGCACGUUUUGACAGAUACACCCUCGGGACCAGCAGGAUCAGACUCUCCAGAGAAAGAGCCUGGGAUGGUGUUGGGGUUUUUGUCUGUCUGUUUGAAAGAAAUGUCCCAGGUGGCCCUUCUGCUGAGGCAAGAGUGGGACGUGCGUCGGUCGAGCUCCACUCACUAGGCUUCCUUGUGACCAGCGGCCCAUUUGUACACACGCUGGGACCAUACAGGGGAACAACCCAGAGGGACUUGGAGCUGUCCCUUGCUCUUCUUGUCGUAAGCAGGUGUGAGCAUAACCAGUCCCAAUAUUGAGGUUGCCUUAGCGAUUCUUCUUAGAGGGAGAGAAUAUUAUAGGGCCAUCUUAGGUUUUUGUUUUCUGUUUUUAAAUAGAACUUAUUUUAAACCCGGCUACACCUUUUAUUUCUUUGUCUUUGACAUCUUCAGAUUCUUCUCUACCGGCCUGGGUGGCUCAGUUGGCUGAGUGUCUUGGAUUUGGCUCAAAUCACAAUCCCGGGGUCAUGGGAUGAGCCCCAGAUCGGGCUUCAUGCUCAGCGUGGAGCCUGCUUAAGAUACUCUCCCUCCCUCUGUGGCCCCUCCCCGGCUCCUGCUGGCUCCCUUUCUCUCUCUGAAAAACAAAAAAAACCCGAAAACAAUUUUAAAAAAUUACUCUCUGUGAUUUAGAUAUGCCCUGAAAUCUUGGAGCCUAGCCUCAAGAUCUCAGAGUCCUCACUGAAUUUUUGCCAUCUCGUUUAUUGUAUAUUCUCAUUCCUCCGUUGAUUAUAUUUCCUAGGUGCCUACCCUGAAUGCCGGCAGGCAGAAUCACGUUGAAGUGGUAACUGGUCUCAGCUCCCAGAGAGCUCCAUUUUUGAAUUGGGGAGAAUCUCCUCUUUGGCCGAGUGGGAGCACAUCUCCGAGCUGCUGACUGACAGACGUGAUGUUUUCCCGGUUGCUGUCGGUGGCCCGGAGACAAAGGACCGGCCGAGGAUGGCAGAACUGGUCGUCGGGGAGAAGCGGUGCGCCAGCUGCCGAGGCGCAUUCUGUCGCCCUGCCUGCCCAGGCACAGGUGGUCAUCUGUGGCGGUGGAAUCAUGGGCACGUCCGUGGCCUAUCACCUCUCCAAGAUGGGCUGGAAGGAUAUUGUCCUUUUGGAGCAGGGCAGGCUGGCCGCUGGCUCUACGAGGUUCUGUGCCGGCAUCCUGAGCACCGCCAGGCACUUGACCAUCGAGCAGAAGAUGGCAGACUAUUCCAACAAACUCUACCAGCAGUUAGAGCAAGAAACAGGGAUCCAAACAGAGCCCCUGCUGAGUUCCCUCCUGCGUCGGAUGCCAGAACUGGAGACUCUGGAGAUCGUGAAGUUGGUCAACUGCCCCGAGACCUUCACCCCAGACAUGAGGUGCAUCAUGGGCGAGUCUCUUGCAGUGCAGGGGCUACUGUGUCCUAGUGGGAGUGAACUCUGCUGGCCUGUCGUUUGGAGGAGGGGCUUGAAGGUUGUCAGAGGAUGGUGAAGACUCAGAUGCCAGCACAUGCGUUCAUCAGGCAGAGGAUAAGAAGAGCCAGAAAUCAAGGUGAUAAAACAAGAUUGUCCAGUUGAAUAUGUGGACAAGACAGAAGAACACAGAGCCCCUCCCUCAAGAGACCGUAAGAAGUGACGAAGGAUCAUUUCACAGAGAAAAAAGUACCAGCCAUCUGAAACCCAAGUCCCGCCACGCAUUCACAAAGCAUCCAGAUCCUUUGAAUCUCUAGGGACAGAGGAGCAGACACACAAGUCAAACCCAUGAUGGGAACGACAGACUGCAGGAUGUUCUGUCAGGUAUGCUGAAGUCAGGAACGAGUCACCCACUUCAGGGUUAGGACCAAAGAGAGACAAGUGCCAGAUUCACAUUGUUAACCAAGAAAGAUUUCCAGGGUGAAUUUUAAAGUGCCAAAAGCUGAGUGUGUGUGUCAGGGCACUCAAUAAAUACAUCUUGCCCGAGUCUUAAAAGUGUGCCCCUAUUUAUGGACAAGAUGCAAUUUACACAUAAAUCUAGAACUUCCUUUAAAUUCUUCAAAGACGAGAGUGGUACAGGGCAGGGGAUACCUUUAGCUCUACAGUGCCUGUUUCCAGCUUUCUUGGUCAGUUGGGCCCCUGUUGCUAACACCUGCGUUGAGCAGGUGCCUGAUUCCUGCUCUCCCCCAUGUGUCAUAGCUGCUGCGCCCUGUCCUACAAGGUGACACCUCUCCCCCAACUGCCCCCCUCCUUGCAGCAGCAUCUCUCAGCCCAUCACAUAGUGAGGCCCUAACGGUUGUAACCACAUACUCCCUUAAUAAAUCAACGAAGACGUCUUUUAAAAAGUGGACACUACAAUCAGUAGUCAAGUAGGAACUGUCUGGCCAGGCAGAGGACAAGAAGUUUCUAUAGAGACUCUAUCAGAUGAAGGGGGUAAACCGAGAUCCCAAAGAAACGCCAGAGCAGGCAGACACACGUGAGAGUUCUAAGCUGCUCACGGAGAACAAAAGGCCCUUCUAUAAUGGACUGACAGACUCGUCAGAGCUAACGCUUCCAAGAUAUCAAGACAACAGUUCAUUCAAAUCUGUGACAGCACUUUGCAUAUAAACUGCCCCCAUUGGACUUUAAGUGCAAAGGGUGGACAAGUUUCGGACAGCCCAGCCUCACCUUUAGCAGACAGACACCGUGUAAGAGAGUGGAGGGCCCGGUCAUUUUCUCUUCCAGAGCUACAGAGAGAUGGCUGGAUGGAAGAGCAGACUCUCACAGGACCCUCCCCAGACUCCUGAGGGUCAUCUCUGUGCAGAUCUGUCUGUUCUGUGCCCGAGGAAGCAAAACUUGGGAGUCCAGUAGCUCUUGAACUCUGCACGGCCAGCAUGGUUUAGUUCCUCCCCAGGACCACACACCCUCCCUGUUCCAAAGGGACAGCAGUGUUUGCCGAGUGGGCCUGCUGCAGAAGGGGCAGGUAAGGAGAGGGGACAAAGAUGCACCUGGAGAAGAGGACGGUCAAGAUGGGAAGAGUGAGCUUUGAGCAGCUGAAAGCAGCAGCACUGUUCAGACAGCAGAAAACCACCUCUGUGCGGUACAUUUUCCAAGAAGAUCAAUACAAAAGGCAACAUGGUCUUUCCCUUUCAAACACUGGCUUGUUUACUCAGGCCCCCAGACCCUCUUCUAGAGAUCAGCAAGACGUGAAGGAAAUGUUAGGAGGGUGGCCCUGAUCCGCAAGUCUAGUAACUGGGUCAGUAGGGAGGCUGGGAUGUCCCAGGCCGGCUGUUUGCUACAGACCAAAGAACAUGCACGUGGUGCCGCUCGUGAAUGAGGUAGAUGGUCAUCCUCUUGUAGAGGGAUCGGUGCCAACCCCCCGCACGGGCUCUCGCAAGGGGCUGCCUCGGAUCCACAGCAACCCGCCAAGAUGAGCAGGUUAUUCCGAGAAAAGUCAGCCUCACAGAGCUGGACUCUUGCCCUGCGGCCUGCAUACCACCAGCUUCCCCUGCUUCUAGACACAGCCAGAGAAAUCAGACCCCUGGCUCCCCACUUCCACGAGUGCAGUCUUUACCUGUCCUGCCUGUCACACAUGCUUUGUGUCACCAUGAGGAUCUGAGAGGGGUGGAGUGGGGGGCUGGAAGAACAGCCCAGAGGGAGUAUUAGAUGGUUAACUGCACUGCAAAAGGGAGGAGGGAAGGUGGAAGGAGAAGAGAGGUUGCAAAGCAAAAGGUUUAAAGCAGGUGAAGCUUAAAAUCCUAUCAGGGAGGUAAAAGGUGGGAAGCAGAGGGUUGGGACUGGAGGGGAGCCCGGCAUUACUUUCCAUGCAAGUCACUUAGCUCCACAUCAUCCUUUCGGCGCUUGUGGGUAAAGAGGGAGGUGACAGGGUAGAGCUUGGCCUUGGCCUGGAACCGGUGUCCCGCGAUGUCAAUCUCAUACUCUCCCCGGUUGAUGAAAUCUGCCGUCACAACCUGUUCUUCCCCAGUAUCUUCGGAAAAAUUGUGCACAAAGCCCAGGCAAACGUGGCGCUCCAGGGUGUAGCUGUAGGCGCUGCUGGUGGUCUUGCCUGCGUACUGCCCGUUGCGGUAAAUGGGUUCUCCCCACCAGGGCCAGAGGUCCAGGUCGGUGUCGUGAUCGUCCAGAAUGAACAUAGUGAGGCGUUUGUACACCCCGUUCUGUUUCUGCUGCAGCAGGGCAUCCCGGCCAAUGAAAUCCAUCCCCUAGGAGAGAACGGCAAUGCUGAGAGCAGGCUGACGUGCUGAUGCUGGGCACAGAAGGGGCGGUGGGUAGGGUCCCCUGAUGUACCUGCCAUGGGGGCAACACCCCCACUCCCCAGAUUUGGGGAAAAUGUAGGUUUUCCACCUUGUGAAAAACUGCAUUCACAAUAUAGAAGACCUACUCAGAAAUUUCUGUAACACAGGUGUACAUUUUUCUCUUUUGUAAACAUAGAUUUCAACCACAAGACCACACAGAAAAAAAAUACUUAGGAAGAAAAAUUCAAAAAUACUUGCUAUAAUUGUUUUCAAAAAACCAUGUUUUUAGGUAAUCUCAAGAGAAAGCCCACACAUGUAUGUAUUUGAAUGUGCAAGAAACAUGACCAGGG